UACAGAGGGGGCAAGCGUUGUUCGGAAUUACUGGGCGUAAAGGGCGCGUAGGCGGCCUGUUAAGUCGAACGUGAAAUCCCCGGGCUCAACCCGGGAACUGCGUCCGAUACUGGCAGGCUUGAGUGCGGGAGAGGAUGGUGGAAUUCCCAGUGUAGAGGUGAAAUUCGUAGAUAUUGGGAAGAACACCGGUGGCGAAGGCGGCCAUCUGGACCGCAACUGACGCUGAGGCGCGAAAGCGUGGGGAGCAAACAGG
Molecule: ribosomal RNA, 253 nt
Filed under: uncultured bacterium
Lineage: Bacteria
Description: partial 16S ribosomal RNA
Rfam family: Bacterial small subunit ribosomal RNA
Source: RNAcentral